UUGGAGGGCAAGUCUGGUGCCAGCAGCCGCGGUAAUUCCAGCUCCAAUAGCGUAUAUUAAAGUUGUUGCAGUUAAAAAGCUCGUAGUUGAAUUUCGGGAUCAGAGUGUCGGUCGUGCCUCGGUACGCACUGGUAUUAUUGGUUCCUACCUUCUGAAGAACCGCGAUGUCAUUAAUUUGGUGUCGUGGGGAAUCAGGACUGUUACUUUGAAAAAAUUAGAGUGUUUAAAGCAGGCUUACGCUUGAAUACAUUAGCAUGGAAUAAUGAAAUAGGACGUUUGAUUCUAUUUUGUUGGUUUCUAGGAUUGACGUAAUGAUUAAUAGGGAUAGUUGGGGGCAUUAGUAUUCAAUUGUCAGAGGUGAAAUUCUUGGAUUUAUUGAAGACUAACUACUGCGAAAGCAUUUGCCAAGGAUGUUUUCAUUAAUCAAGAACGAAAGUUAAGGGAUCGAAGACGAUCUGAUACCGUCGUAGUCUUAACCAUAAACCAUGCCGACUAGGGAUCGGAUGAUGUUAAUUUUUUUAUUGACUCAUUCGGAGUCUUACGGGAAAC
RNAcentral lists this ribosomal RNA (549 nucleotides) under uncultured Glomeromycotina. Its description in RNAcentral is "SSU rRNA". It matches the Rfam family "Eukaryotic small subunit ribosomal RNA", at positions 548 to 1098 of the family's 1831-position model. The record is from RNAcentral. Lineage: Eukaryota; Fungi; Glomeromycota.